AUGCUCUCACUGCAUCAGGCUCUAUCUUCUCUACUGCUUCUCUCCACUCUAACAGCAAUCAGCUGUGAAGAACUCACACCGGUCCACAAUGAAGAGUUCAGUGCAGAAGGCAGCUCUGUUACUCUGUCCUAUAACUCCUCCAAAGUGAACCUAGGGGAUUAUUUCUUCUGGUAUCGACAGAAUCCAGGACAAGCUCCAGAGUUCCUCCUCUCACACUCUGCUUCAGGACAAGAAGCUGCUCCAACCUCUGGACUGAAGAUCCAAGUGGAGCAGAACCAAAUCCACAUGAUCAUCUCCUCUGCUGCAGUGACAGACUCUGCUGUGUACUACUGUGCUGUGAGG
Molecule: non-coding RNA, 342 nt
Organism: Pleuronectes platessa (European plaice)
Lineage: Eukaryota; Metazoa; Chordata; Actinopteri; Pleuronectiformes; Pleuronectidae
Source: the annotation of a RefSeq genome assembly